Molecule: ribosomal RNA, 253 nt
Filed under: uncultured bacterium
Lineage: Bacteria
Description: partial 16S ribosomal RNA
Rfam family: Bacterial small subunit ribosomal RNA
Source: RNAcentral
UACGAAGGGGGCUAGCGUUGCUCGGAAUCACUGGGCGUAAAGCGCACGUAGGUGGCUUUCUAAGUCAGGGGUGAAAUCCUGGAGCUCAACUCCAGAACUGCCUUUGAUACUGGAGAGCUAGAGUCCGGAAGAGGUGAGUGGAACUGCGAGUGUAGAGGUGAAAUUCGUAGAUAUUCGCAAGAACACCAGUGGCGAAGGCGGCUCACUGGUCCGGUACUGACGCUGAGGCACGAAAGCGUGGGGAGCAAACAGG